RNAcentral lists this ribosomal RNA (339 nucleotides) under uncultured bacterium. RNAcentral describes it as "bacterial SSU rRNA". It matches the Rfam family "Bacterial small subunit ribosomal RNA", at positions 173 to 507 of the family's 1533-position model. The record is from RNAcentral.
GGCAUCAUGAGUCCGCAUGUUCACAUGAUUAAAAGGUAUUCCGGUAGACGAUGGGGGAUGCGUUCCAUUAGAUAGUAGGCGGGGGUAAACGGCCCACCUAGUCUUCGAUGGAUAGGGGGUUCUGAGAGGAAGGUCCCCCACAUUGGAACUGAGACACGGUCCAAACUCCUACGGGAGGCAGCAGUGAGGAAUAUUGGUCAAUGGGCGAGAGCCUGAACCAGCCAAGUAGCGUGAAGGAUGAAGGUCCUACGGAUUGUAAACUUCUUUUAUACGGGAAUAAAGUUUCCUACGUGUAGGAUUUUGUAUGUACCGUAUGAAUAAGCAUCGGCUAACUCCGUG